RNAcentral lists this ribosomal RNA (477 nucleotides) under uncultured bacterium. Its description in RNAcentral is "partial 16S ribosomal RNA". It matches the Rfam family "Bacterial small subunit ribosomal RNA", at positions 28 to 507 of the family's 1533-position model. The record is from RNAcentral.
GAUUAACGCUGGCGGCGUGCAUAACACAUGCAAGUCGAACGAUGAAACUUAGUAGACUUCUUCGGAAAGACACUAAGCGGAUUAGUGGCGAACGGGUGAGUAACGCGUGAGUAACCUGCCUUACACAGGGGGAUAGCCUUUGGAAACGAAGAAUAAUACCCUAUAAAACCAUAAAAGCACAUGCUAGAAUGGUCAAAGUGAUAGCGGUGUAAGAUGGACUUGCGUCUGAUUAGCUAGUUGGUGAGAUAAAAGCUCACCAAGGCAACGAUCAGUAGCCGGCGUGAGAGAGUGUACGGCCACAUUGGGACUGAGACACGGCCCAGACUCCUACGGGAGGCAGCAGUGGGGAAUUUUGCACAAUGGGGGAAACGCUGAUGCAGCGACGCCGCGUGAUUUAGCAGGCCUUCGGGUUGUAAAAAUCUUUUGUAUAGGAAGAAAAUGACAGUACUAUACGAAUAAGGUCCGGCUAAUUACGUG